Long non-coding RNA from Heterocephalus glaber (naked mole-rat), 958 nucleotides. The record is from Ensembl. Lineage: Eukaryota; Metazoa; Chordata; Mammalia; Rodentia; Bathyergidae.
GCGGGGCUACAUUGGAGAGUCGUGGGCGUGGAGAAGCAGCGAUUGGUGCUGGGGCGGGCGGUGUUUUGAGUGCGCGCGCGCGCAGGCGGGAGCGCGUACGUCGGCAGCGCGGAAGUUAGGGUCUCGAGGAGGCUGCCACCGGCUGAUCCUUCCUCCGGCGGCCGCCCUCCGUGGCCAGUUGUCGGACUCCGGGAAGUAGGCGCUGAGGGCUCGCCCCCUGCGUAUGUGAGCGCUUCUGUCUCUCUGGCGGCUACGCACGGCUGUCGCUCUGGAGAGACUGAGGAGGAAACGGGGGUGGGAGGGGAUUGCGACUGCAGUGGGACGCGGGAGCGGCGGAAGCACCGCGCUGGAGCGGUCCGGUGGCGUCGCCGGGCUUCCUUGCCCUCCCUCCGCCCGGCCGGGCUGGCUCGGAUCCCCGGGUCGAGCGCGCUGCUGCGUCACACCAGGCAGCCAGGCCGCCACUGUUGAGCAUCUCCGGCCGCCUCCCACGCCCGGGCGAGUGCACGGCCCGAGCUCCCGAGCCGAAGCGAAAGAAUGCGAGCUCAGGUUGUUGACGUCCUGUGACGCUGCUGGAUUGCAUUUGUGGGUGACCGUUGCCUGGUUCAGAAAAGAACUUUCACCAUCUUUGCUUUCUAGGUCCCUCCCUGGAGGGCGGAUUAAAGGAUGCCGCGACGAAUCGCAAAAGAACAAAAGCUCUCCAGGGACGCUGGAUAACUUCAAAGCUUAUCCCACACAGUUUGUCUUGGGCAAGACAAAGACGCCAUCAUGGCUAUUUUCUUGCUGCCAAACAACCAGGCUUCCAGCUGGAUGGACUAAAAGUGUUUUGCAACCUUACUUGAAGAUUGAGCAGAGCCUGAUUUCAGGGAAAAUGAGAAAUGAAUUGUUGGGAGUACAUGGACAGGCAGUUGGAAUGCACCGGCCUUUGAGGGGCUGGUGUUGAAGAAAUAAAUGAAAUGGG